This 1045-nucleotide long non-coding RNA is filed under the name Numida meleagris (helmeted guineafowl). RNAcentral describes it as "lncRNA (ENSNMEG00000010597.1)". Lineage: Eukaryota; Metazoa; Chordata; Aves; Galliformes; Numididae. The record is from RNAcentral.
AUUAUGUUUGUACACAAAACCUACUGCUUGUGUGUUGCUAUUGAAUUAAAUUAUUAGGAGAAAUGGCACAGGGAAAACAUCUUCAGUGAAGACAGAAAAUCAUCUAUACCAACCCCAAAAUUUUGUUUAGCCACCUCUGUGUGGUUCACUGAUGUACAUCACAGUAGUCUUUGGAAGGUUUGUGUAGAACGUUUCAACCUUGUCUGAAUUCAGGAACCGUUUGGCCUAUAUUUCCUGUGCUAGAGGAAGGAAUUCAGCAACUGCAUAGUGUUAUAUGUAACAUGGAAACUUGUCCUAAACUGUCACCACCCCAGAGCCAUGAACUGUUCCCUAAUUCUACUGCUACAAGUUAUUCUAAUAUAAGCUUCUUUCUGAAAUGCUUAUAUUAUUGAGUCUGCUGUGAGUGAAGUGGAUUUCAGAUCCAUCUGAUUUGUCAGAACCGUGACUGCUCCGCACUGUUUGUAUUGGAAUGUCUGACUCGUUUGCAGUCAGCAUAUGGAGUUUGUCCUCUAGUUGGUGAUCCAAGUCCUUAAAUGCAAAGGAAAUAAGGAGAGGUGAGAAUUGUUAAAAAAGGAAAAUUAUGGAGAAGCAUUGUGUUCACACAAUGUUCACACACAUCCAGGUAGUGACAUCCCAGCUGAUCCAGAAUUAAAAAGUUUUCCAGGUGGCUCUGACCUUCUGUUUAUGUAUGGCUUUCUUCCUGAUGUUACAGCUGCCCCUCUGGUGAUGAGCACUCCCAAUACUGAGCAGCACCAGGGCUCUCCUUUCAGCCUCUCAAAGCUGGAGAAGCUGCAGCACGGUGUGUGUGGUGUGUGCGGGGGAUUUUCAUGCUCCCUCCUCCUGCCUGCAGCCACAUUCCAACAGUGCCAUGUUAGCACAUGACCUGAUCCGGUGGUGAAGACCGACUGGAGAAAGUGAAGGCUGGUAGGCUCAGCCCUUCCUCUUGACUGCCUGCAGCAGAGUUGCAUCUGUCCCGAGGAAAACAAUGUCUUUUAAAAGAAAAAAUAUAAAUAAAAAAACCUACAGGCAGUUGAAAUUAUCUUCU